RNAcentral lists this ribosomal RNA (435 nucleotides) under uncultured bacterium. RNAcentral describes it as "partial 16S ribosomal RNA". It matches the Rfam family "Bacterial small subunit ribosomal RNA", at positions 341 to 792 of the family's 1533-position model. The record is from RNAcentral.
ACGGGGGCAGCAGUGGGGAAUAUUGGGCAAUGGGGGAAACCCUGACCCAGCAACGCCGCGUGGAGGAAGAAGGUCUUCGGAUCGUAAACUCCUGUCCUACGAGACGAGCAGAAGACGGUAUCUUAGGAGGAAGCCCCGGCUAACUACGUGCCAGCAGCCGCGGUAAUACGUAGGGGGCGAGCGUUGUCCGGAAUGAUUGGGCGUAAAGGGCGCGUAGGCGGCCUGUUAAGUCAGAAGUGAAAGUCCUGCUUUCAAGGUGGGAAUUGCUUUUGAUACUGGUAGGCUUGAGUGCAGGAGAGGUUAGUGGAAUUCCCAGUGUAGCGGUGAAAUGCGUAGAGAUGGGGAGGAACACCAGUGGCGAAGGCGACUAACUGGACUGUAACUGACGCUGAGGCGCGAAAGUGUGGGGAGCAAACAGGAUUAGAUACCCUGGUA